RNAcentral lists this transfer RNA (71 nucleotides) under Narcetes shonanmaruae. RNAcentral's name for it is "Alepocephalidae sp. MK-2017 tRNA-Asp". It matches the Rfam family "tRNA". From Rfam's summary of the family: Transfer RNA (tRNA) molecules are approximately 80 nucleotides in length. Their secondary structure includes four short double-helical elements and three loops (D, anti-codon, and T loops). The record is from RNAcentral. Lineage: Eukaryota; Metazoa; Chordata; Actinopteri; Alepocephaliformes; Alepocephalidae.
AGGGCCCUAGUAAAAGGACAUUACUCUGCCUUGUCAAGGCAGAAUUGUGGGUUGAAACCCCGCGGGUCCUG